GCCUUCGUAGCUCAGUGGAUAGAGCGCCAGCCUCCGGAGCUGGAUACCCCGGUUCGAGUCCGGGCGAAGGUA
This 72-nucleotide transfer RNA is filed under the name Anaerolineales bacterium. RNAcentral describes it as "tRNA-Arg". It matches the Rfam family "tRNA". From Rfam's summary of the family: Transfer RNA (tRNA) molecules are approximately 80 nucleotides in length. Their secondary structure includes four short double-helical elements and three loops (D, anti-codon, and T loops). The record is from RNAcentral. Lineage: Bacteria; Bacillati; Chloroflexota; Anaerolineae; Anaerolineales.